GAUUUUUGUUUUUCAAUGUGCAUUGAAGUUGAGCAGUAGGAGAAUUGUCAUGUGUUCUUUUAAAAUCUUCUGACAUGUCAUCAUAAUAUGUGGCCCAGAGCUUUCUAAAACUCGGUGAGCAUGGUAUGUGAGGCAUAUUCCCAUGCAACAAUAUUUUUCAAAUUUUGAUUGUUCCAAAAGCAUACUAAAAUGUCAACAACAAUAUUAGAAAGAAGAAUAAAUGAUGAACAAAUAUACUUAAUUAUGAAUGCAUUUCUAUUAAAUUAUAUUGAUUUGGCUGUAGUGUUUAGAAAAUAGCACUUGACAAGUUUUUCCUCAAUUGAAUAUAUUGAGAUUCAAAUUUUCCUUGUAUUUUUUUCAUCGCGUAUAAUUUGGUUAUUGCAAUUUUUCUGCUAUUUUAAUGGCUGCGUUUGAAUGAAAAGCCUGCUCAAUCAGGGGUGGCCAUACAAACUCAUAAACUUCAAAUCCUAUGUUUGCCUAUUUCUAGUCUGUCUGCUCUGUUGGCUUGUUCCUAACUUGGCUUUACACAUUAAAUUUGUAUUACAUACUUUAGAAGAAGCUUUAUUUUAACAAUUUUUCCCCUUCCUACAGCUUUUCCUGUGUAAUGAAGCAGAGGCUUACUAUCGAUACAAUCACAUCGCUAUCUACAGAAUGGACCUUCCUAGCUACAGAUGGACCUUCAAAGUUCAAGUUGUGGAUACGUUUUGCUCUCGGGAGAGAAAAGAUCAAAUUGUUCAUUUCCAAACAAUAAGCGAAAAAUAGGUUUCUACAGAUCUGUAUGGUGAUGACAUUGGCAGGUGUCUUAAACUGUUUGCUCAUUACUCAAUGCGAGCCAACACGAAAGGGUUGUCAAUAGGUACACAAUUGUUGAGCCUAUGACCAACAACAGCAGUGCAUCAUUACUUGCUCCAUGAAAUUUGAAUGCUUCCUUUUUUCUGGAUAUCGUAGAAUUUGGUAGAGAAGGUGGAUUCUAUGGUAUAUGAGCUUGUAGAUGUGGUGGCUAAUGAGCGUGCUUUACUUGAGAAAUGUAGAGAUCUCUUAUUAUCAAUGACAGUUCUACAGGUAAACCUAGAUUUCCCUCUACCUGAAGCUUUUGAAGGAAACCAUAUUUGAGUUUGUUCAGAUUGUUUACUUCUCUUAGCAAAAUAAUUGCUUAGAUUUUUGUUGACAAUUUUAUAGAUUUUUGUUGCUUCUUUAAGUUAGAAAUAUUUGCUACUUCUUUCGUAAUGUUUGUGUCUUCUGAUGCUUUGAAC
Molecule: long non-coding RNA, 1253 nt
Organism: Capsicum annuum
Lineage: Eukaryota; Viridiplantae; Streptophyta; Magnoliopsida; Solanales; Solanaceae
Exons: 3
Source: RefSeq, a predicted model, not a curated record